ACUCCUACGGGAGGCAGCAGUAGGGAAUCUUCCACAAUGGGCGAAAGCCUGAUGGAGCAAUGCCGCGUGAGUGAAGAAGGUUUUCGGAUCGUAAAACUCUGUUGUUGAAGAAGAACAUGCGUGAGAGUAACUGUUCACGUACUGACGGUAUUCAACCAGAAAGCCACGGCUAACUACGUGCCAGCAGCCGCGGUAAUACGUAGGUGGCAAGCGUUGUCCGGAUUUAUUGGGCGUAAAGAGAAUGUAGGCGGUUUAUUAAGUUUGAAGUGAAAGCCCCUCGGCUCAACCGAGGAAGUGCUUCGAAAACUGGUAAACUUGAGUGCAGAAGAGGAAAGUGGAACUCCAUGUGUAGCGGUGGAAUGCGUAGAUAUAUGGAAGAACACCAGUGGCGAAGGCGGCUUUCUGGUCUGUAACUGACGCUGAGAUUCGAAAGCAUGGGUAGCAAACAGGAUUAGAUACCCCUGGUAGCGACUGA
RNAcentral lists this ribosomal RNA (475 nucleotides) under uncultured bacterium. RNAcentral's name for it is "bacterial SSU rRNA". It matches the Rfam family "Bacterial small subunit ribosomal RNA", at positions 335 to 798 of the family's 1533-position model. The record is from RNAcentral.